AGCUAGGAUUUCAUUAAAGAUUAACGCUCCAAUAUUCGUUAGUGUCUCUUAAGGUUUUUGGUGGGACAUUUUGACAGGGAGAUGAUGAUUGAGUACUCAAAGGAAGUGAUGAAAUUAGGUAAAUUGCUCUUUGAGCUUCUGUCAGAAGCUCUAGGGUUAAACACUAGUCACCUCAAGGACAUGGAUUCAGUGCCGGCCCGGAGGACAUGCCACCCAAGCCACCGCUUGGGGCACCACUUUUUUUUUUUUUUUUUUAAGGUUUUUCUUUUUUUUUUUUGGAAAAAAGGCCCAAUUUUAGAAAAAAAAAAAGAAUUAAGCCUAUAAAAUGAAAAUAUUUGGUAGAAACUAAAGCCUUUUCGAAAAAAAUAAAUAAAAUAGGGCCCAAACAAUUAAAUUUGAAUGUAAUAAUAUUCAAAAUAUCAUUAUUUUGUAUAAUUUACUAAAAAUAGGUCAAAAAAAAUUUUUUAACCCUAAAACUUAUAAAUAUAUUGGGCCUCAUUUUAUUUUUCGUGUAGGGCCUCACAAAUGCUCGGACCGGCACUGCAUGGAUUGCACCAACUCCUUGCUGUUGCUCGGCCAUUAUUACCCGCCAUGUCCCCAACCCGACCUUACUUUAGGUUUGACCAAACACUUCGACAACUCUUUUCUCACUAUUCUUCUUCAAGACCAUAUCGGAGGGCUUCAAGUUCUCCAUGACCAAUAUUGGGUUGAUGUUCCUCCUGUUCCCGGAGCUCUUGUUGUUAACGUUGGAGAUCUUCUUCAGGUUAACUAACUAAUUAACCCUUUUGGUUUAUUUAUCAGUGGAGUUAAUCUAUGGACUAAGUUUGAUUAAUUAUAAUGGGGCAUAUAACAAACGACAAGUUCAAAAGUGUGGAGCAUAGGGUUUUGGCGAAUGUAGCUGGACCAAGAAUUUCAGUGGCUUGUUUCUUCAGUUCGUAUUUGAUGGCGAAUCCUCGAGUUUAUGGACCCAUCAAAGAUAUUUUGUCAGAACAAAAUCUGUAAAUGCAAGAGCUACUAAGUUUUGAAUUAGUUCACGAUGUAACUCUGAAUUUCUCAAAAACUCUUUCGAUUAAUAGAAAAUAUGUUUACAAGGUUUCUCCUUUAACACUAUUUUCUAUUCUCACUAAGUCUUGUUCUUUAAUCACAGACCGAUUAAGAACAAUAACUCUCCUUAAAACCCUUAGCUCUCUUUAAGCCUCUAGUUCUCUAUUUCUCUCAAACUAAGACUUAAUAGCUAGGAAUUCUCUCUAGUGAUUGUGCUAAGCUUUCUGCAAGCCUUAGCACUCCUACUUAUACUAAAUAGGUUGAGACCAUACAACAGGUCGAUUUCCAAUUCUAAAACUAAUUGGAAUGGACAAUUUCCUUUUUCUUUAUGGAAUAGGAAAUUGUCCUUUGUCUUCAUGUUUUCCUUUUCUUCUUGUAAAAGGAAACUCUUCAGUCUUCUAGAAUCUUCUCUAAGCUUCUAGUCUUCACUUCAAACCGCCAAAACAAGAUUCUGCAUAUUUCCUUAAUCUUGUUCAUGUUGCUCUGUUCUCUAGAGUUACUUCUUGUCUUAGUUCAGGUACUCCUUCAGAGGCUGCAUCUUCAAAAUCCUCCCAAAUAUAGAGACACCACCAUUACGGAGUAUGCAAAGUUCUACAGAUCCAAAGGAUUCGAUGGUACCUCUGGAUUACUCUAUCUCAAGAUCUGAGAAUAUCACUUGUCUAAUAAAGGUGCUUGGGACUUUGAUUUCCUCGCUGUAAUAACUUCUUCUUUAAUAUAUCUCUGUCAAAGCCACUGGGCUAGAACUGUCACAGGCCGUUGUUUUUUCUAUCAUGUAGAGUCACUUAAAAGGAUUCUUCGAAGUUUUAAAAAGGUUUAUCUCCUGGUUAAUUAGAAAAUCAAUAUUCGUUCUAGACAGAUGUGUCAUAUGUGAUUGCUAUUUGUUUUAACCUGAAUGAAUAUAACUUACUAAAUUUCUAAAGCCAUAAAAGCAAUAUUGCUACAACUUCAAUUUGUAAAGAUAAGAAAAAAAUCAUGCAGUUUUGAAAUCAAGUGUUCCUAUUUAAUAUAUUUUCUAGAAUAAUUUGAGGUAACAUGAUUAUUUGAUAGUUCUUGUGAUUGAAAUUUGUAAUUUUUUACAUUGUUUCUCUCUUGCAUUAACUGGUUUUUGAGAUACAUAAGAAAAUUAAUGUUUUGACUUUCUUACCCAAGAUGACAUGUUCAAAGAUGCACAUGUAUACAUCAUAGUAAAAUGCAAAGUAACCUAUCUUAUCAUUUGUAUAAUAAAAUGCUUGUGAUAUAUAUACCUUUUUUUCUAUCAACUUUAUCUCUUAUCAAUGGUCCCAUCUUGGAACACAAGAAACACGAGUAAUAUAUACCUUUUGUUUUGUGGGUUAGGUAAAGUGUCGGUGGGUGCUUAUGUUAUAUAUGAUUGUAUCAGAUUGCUCUAUCUGUCUUUAUGAGAGACAAAAACGAUGGAGACGAAGAAGAUUGCUUCAUUUGAUCGUGCCAGUGAGCUUAAAGCUUUCGAUGAGAGCAAGACUGGUGUGAAAGGACUCGUUGACGCUGGAAUCUCACAGAUUCCACGCAUUUUUCAUCACUCAUCUGUCGAACUAGCAGACCCUAAACCACUUCCCUCGGAGUUGCUACAUCUAAAGACGAUCCCAACGAUCAAUCUCGGAGGACGGGUCUUCGAGGACGCGAUUAAGCACAAGAACGCGAUUGAAGGGAUUAGAGAAGCGGCUGCGAAGUGGGGUUUCUUCCAAGUGAUUAACCAUGGAGUUUCGCUCGAUCUUCUUGAGAAGAUGAAAGAUGGAGUUCGUGACUUUCAUGAGCAACCCCCUGAAGUGAGGAAAGAAUUGUAUAGCCGCGAUUUCAACAGAAAGUUUAUGUAUUUAAGUAACUUCGAUCUCUACAGUGCUCCAGCUGCAAAUUGGAGAGACACAUUCUAUUGUUACAUGGCUCCAGAUCCUCCAAAACCAGAGGAUCUGCCAGAGAUUUGUAGGUAUGAGCCUUGGACCUUGGUCAAAGUUCCAACAAAUCUCUUAUUUGCCUUAGUUUAUGCAAACACCCUCUUAGACACAUUCAAACCAUGCUUUUGGAAAAGCUUUUGUGAAUACGUAAGCAACUUUGGUCGUUUUAAUUGUGCAGUAAAUCAACUUUAAUAUCUCUAUCCUUUCAGGGAUGUUAUGAUGGAAUACUCAAAGCAAGUGAUGAUUUUGGGUGAAUUUCUCUUUGAGCUUUUGUCAGAAGCUCUAGGGCUGAACCCUAAUCACCUCAAGGACAUGGAUUGCCUAAAGGGUUUGCGCAUGCUUUGCCAUUACUUCCCACCGUGUCCAGAGCCUGACCUAACUUUUGGCACAAGUCCGCACUCCGACAGCUCUUUUCUUACCAUCCUCCUUCCAGAUCAGAUCAAAGGGCUUCAGGUUCUUCGUGAAGGGUACUGGUUCGAUGUUCCUCAUGUUCCAGGCGCUCUCAUCAUCAACAUCGGAGAUCUUUUACAGGCAUGUUUACCAAUGCUUUCUUUUCCUCAGUUUUGCAUUCUAUAGAUAAUCUUCCCUUUAACUCAAAGUUUCUUUUGGGGGUUUGUGAUUUUGAUGCAGCUUAUAACAAACGACAAAUUCAUCAGUUUGGGGCAUCGAGUAUUGGCGAACAGAGCCACAAGAGCUCGAGUCUCUGUCGCAUGUUUCUUCACCACCCAUGUAAAACCCAAUCCUAGAGUGUAUGGACCCAUUAAAGAGCUUGUGUCCGAAGAAAACCCUCCAAAGUACAGAGAGACCACCAUUACAAACUACGCUACUUACUUCAAUGGCAAAGGACUUGGCGGAACCUCUGCUUUGCUCCAUUUUAAAGUAUGAAACAUGGCGAGCUACUACUUUCUCAAACAUAUACGACAUGACAGUAUAUGUAACAUGUUGGAAUUAUGUGAACCAAAUGUGGAAUUUAUGGAUUAUACUACAUUGUCAUUUCAGUUUGGUCCAUAUAAGGUGCAAUCGGAUAUGGUUAAUCGAUUAGAUGUCAAUAUUGGAUAUGAACAAGUUGGUUAUAUGCAUAUACACUAGAUUGGAUGGGUUGAAUUAUUAGAUGACAAUAUUUAAGAUUGGUUAAAUAAUGGUUCACUGGUUGGUUAAGUAAUGGUCUCUAGAUAUGUUUGCAUGUUUUCAUGAUUUGGUGUUAGUUCACUGUAAUUCAUGGAUUUAAAGGUCUUGGGAUUUUUUCAAGCAUGCAUAAGAUUAGUUGACGUUUUUUGCUUUAUCAUAAAAUCAUAAGGUUUUUGAAUCAUAUAUCAUGCAUGUUUCUGGAUUAAAAAUCACAAGAAAGCAUGUUUUUUUUGAAAAUAAAUUUAGUCUUUAAAGACCAUUUGUUGAAAACAAUAAAAGUUCCGUACUUAAUUCAAUUUCAAGAUAGUUAGGCGUAGAAUACAAGAAAGAAAACAAUUUUUUUGAAAGACAAGUGUUGUUUUCUUGUCUGAACAAAACCAACCCAAAUAUAGAGAGACACCACCAUUACUCCAUUACAGAGAAUGCAAACUUCGUUUUAUAUAUAUAUAUAUACUGUAUCAUUUUGACUAAUAAAGUUGCGUGGGAGAUUGAUUCUCUUAAUUCUGUAAUAACUUGUUGUUGACUAAAAGACUUGUCUGGUCCGCUCACUGCCACAAGCGGUUGUUUUUGUCUAUAAACCUUAUCUCUUACCAAUGGUUUUGCUGUAGCAACCGGUCACAUCUUUGAACUUAAGAAAAAUGUUUCAUUCUUGUUUUUAUAGAUUUUUAUGUUAUGCCUGAUUGUAUCAUAUUGUUCUGUUCUUCGAGAAACUAAAACUAUGGAGACGACGAAGAUUGCUUCUUCAUUCGAUCGUGCCAGUGAGCUCAAAGCUUUUGAUGAGACAAAAACGGGUGUGAAAGGACUCGUCGACUCCGGAAUUUCACAGAUUCCACGCAUCUUCCAUCACUCAUCUGUCAAACUAGAGAACCCUAAGCCACUUUCCUCGGACUUGCUACAUCUCAAGACGAUCCCAACGAUCGAUCUUGGAGGACGGGUUUUCGAGGAUGCGAGUAAGCGCAAGAACGCGGUUGAAAGAAUUAAAGAAGCAUCAGAGAAGUGGGGUUUCUUCCAGGUAAUUAACCAUGGAGUUCCACUUGAUCUUCUUGAGAAGAUGAAAGAUGGAGUUCGUGGGUUUCACGAGCAAUCCCCUGAAGUGAGGAAAGAUUUCUACAGUCGCGAUUUAACUAGAAAGUUUCAGUAUUCAAGUAAUUUCGAUCUCUAUAGUUCUCCAGCUGCAAACUGGAGAGACACGGUUGCUUGUACCAUGGCUCCAGAUCCUCCGAAUCCACAAGAUAUUCCAGAGAUUUGUAGGUAUGACUCCAUUGCUUUAACUUUAUUUGAUGUGUAAUCUCUAUUCAUAUAUGGUGAAUUGUUUCAGGGAUGUCACGAUGGAAUAUUCAGAGCAAGUGAUGAAUUUGGGUGAAUUUCUCUUUACGCUUUUAUCAGAAGCUCUAGGGUUGAACCCUAAUCACCUCAAUGACAUGGAUUGCUCUAAGGGUUUGGUCAUGCUUUGCCAUUACUACCCACCAUGUCCAGAGCCUGACCUAACUUUAGGCACAAGUCAGCACGCCGACAAUACUUUUCUUACCGUUCUUCUUCCAGAUCAGAUCGAAGGGCUUCAGGUUCUUCGUGAAGGGUAUUGGUUCAAUGUUCCUCAUGUUCCCGGAGCUCUAAUCAUCAACAUUGGAGAUCUUCUACAGGCAAGUUUGCACAACCAAUACAUUUUUGCUCUGUUUUGCACAAGUAUAAAUCUUCCUCUUGGUUCAAAGAUUUUUUAUUGGGAUUUUGAUGCAGCUUGUAACAAACGACAAGUUCAUCAGUUUGGAGCACAGAGUAUUGGCGAACAGAGCCACAAGAGCUCGAGUCUCUGUAGCAGGUUUCUUCACCACCGCCAUGAGACCGAAUCCUACACUGUACGGACCCAUUAGAGAGCUUGUGUCUGAAGACAACCCUCCAAAGUACAGAGAGACCACUAUUAGAGACUACACUGUUCACUUCAGUGCCAAAGGACUUGACGGAACCUCUGCUUUGCUCCAUUUUAAAAUAUGAAACAUGGCCAGCUAGCUUCUACUUUAUCACACAUAUAUGACAUGAUAUAUAUAUGUAACAUGUUGGAUAUGUGUGAACCACAUGCAUGUGGAAUUUAUGAAAUAAAGAUUGUUAUUUCGGUUUAGUCCAAAUAAGGUGUGAUUGGUUAUGGUGGUUAAAAGAUAUGUUUCUUUGUAGCUAUGAUUAAACUAUUACAGAGUAUGCAAAGUUCUACAGAUCCAAAGGAUUCGAUGGUACCUCUGGAUUACUUUAUCUCAAGAUCUGAGAAUGCCAUAUACUGUAUCAUUUUGUCUAACAGAUGCGUGAGACUAAUUUGAUUUUUUUCUUUUCUGUAAUAACCUCUUGUUAAUUACUUAAGUCUGCUCCAGUCACUGUCACAAGCGGUUGUUUUUGUCAAGCAACCUUAUCUCUAAUCAAUGGUUUUGCUGUAUCAACUGGUCCAAUCUUUGAACUUAAGAAAAAAGUUUCUUUCUUGUUUUUAUGGAUUCUUAAGUUAUGUGGGAUUGUAUCAUAUUGUUCUGUUUUUCGAGAAACUAAAACUAUGGAGACGACGAAGAUUGCUUCUUCAUUCGAUCGUGCCGGUGAGCUUAAAGCUUUCGAUGAAACGAAAACGGGUGUGAAAGGACUCGUUGACGCAGGAGUUUCACAAAUUCCGCGCAUCUUUCAUCAUCCAUCUGUCAAAUUAUCAAACCAUAAACCACUUUCCUCAGACUUGGUACAUCUCAAGACGAUCCCAACGAUUGAUCUAGGAGGAAGGAUCGUUGAGGACACGAGCAAGCGCAAGAACGCGAUUGAAGGGAUUAAAGAAGCAGCAGAGAAGUGGGGUUUCUUCCAGGUGAUCAACCAUGGAGUUUCGCUUGAUCUUCUUGAGAAGAUGAAAGAUGGAGUUCGUGACUUUCACGAGCAAUCCCCUGAAGUGAGGAAAGAAUUCUAUAGUCGCGAUUUCAGCAGAAGGUUUCUGUAUUCAAGUAAUUUCGAUCUCUUCAGUUCUCCAGCUGCAAAUUGGAGAGACACUUUCUCUUGUACUAUGGCUCCAGAUACUCCAAAACCACAGGAUCUUCCGGAGAUUUGUAGGUAUGACUCCAUUGCCCUAACUUGAUUUCAUGUGUACUCUUUGUUCAUAUGGUGAAUCACUAAAUUGUUUCAGGGAUGUUAUGAUGGAAUACUCAAAGCAAGUGAUGAUUUUGGGUAAAUUUCUCUUUGAGCUUUUAUCAGAAGCUCUAGGGUUGGAACCUAAUCACCUCAAUAACAUAGAUUGCUCCAAGGGUUUGCUCAUGCUCUCCCAUUACUACCCACCGUGUCCAGAGCCUGACCUAACUUUUGGCACAAGUCAGCACUCUGACAACUCUUUCCUUACCGUCCUUCUCCCCGAUCAGAUCGAAGGGCUUCAGGU
This 7464-nucleotide long non-coding RNA is filed under the name Arabidopsis lyrata. RNAcentral describes it as "long non-coding RNA (ALYR_LNC002962)". The record is from RNAcentral. Lineage: Eukaryota; Viridiplantae; Streptophyta; Magnoliopsida; Brassicales; Brassicaceae.